Molecule: ribosomal RNA, 253 nt
Filed under: uncultured bacterium
Lineage: Bacteria
Description: partial 16S ribosomal RNA
Rfam family: Bacterial small subunit ribosomal RNA
Source: RNAcentral
UACGUAGGGGGCAAGCGUUAUCCGGAAUUACUGGGUGUAAAGGGAGCGUAGACGGUAAUGUAAGUCUGGAGUGAAAGGCGGGGGCCCAACCCCCGGACUGCUCUGGAAACUAUGUUACUAGAGUGCAGGAGAGGUAAGCGGAAUUCCUAGUGUAGCGGUGAAUUGCGUAGAUAUUAGGAGGAACACCAGAGGCGAAGGCGGCUUACUGGACUGUAACUGACGUUGAGGCUCGAAAGCGUGGGGAGCAAACAGG